GGGGCUGCGCCCGCCGGGACCCCCUGCCCCCGGGCCGGCCCGACCCCGCGCCCCACUCCCGCCGAGCCCCUUCGCUCGCUUCCCCCGCUCGGAACAAAGAUGCGCUCUCCGGGAUGUGAAGAAUGGCGGGUUCCGCGAAGGUGGCGCUUGCCGCGGCUCAGGAUCUAGAUUUUGAAGAUCUAAAUCUUCAUAAGAAGAUCUUGCAAGGGAAGCCGAAAUGUGACCAGAGAGGAAAGGGAGAUUGUGGGAGCUGCGUGUUCAGUAAAGACCUUGCCCUCCUUUGAGGAAAGAACAAAGUAGUCCUAUGCAUCACAAAACAGGAACUGUACCUCCUCACACAUCCCUCAAGCACUGAGAUAAUGUCUGUAGCUGGCACCACGGAGUCUGCACAUGAUCAAGACAUGUUGCAGGCCACUGCGUUCCCUUUGCUGAGUAACUGCCCUAAACCCUUUUAAGAACCCCUGGGCAAGGCAGAAACCUUGCAGUUGGUUUUGGUACAAGACUCUGCCUUCUCCCCAGGUGGCUGGCCUCCUGAAUAAAGCUCAAAUUCCUUUCCAAUGAAA
Canis lupus familiaris (dog) is the source of this 563-nucleotide long non-coding RNA. RefSeq lists it as uncharacterized. NCBI's taxonomy places the organism in Eukaryota, Metazoa, Chordata, Mammalia, Carnivora, Canidae. The record is from RefSeq and is a predicted model, not a curated record. The transcript is spliced from 3 exons.